GUCCAAGGUGAUUCCCUCUCCAAGGGGCUAACUAGUGCCCCUUUUAGAAACACAGUAACUUGGAAGAAAACCUGGCAUGUCUGAGGUCUCUGGGAAACAAAAGAUGGUUGUUGCUUUUGCCUGCCUUGGCUGUUUGCAUGU
Molecule: small nucleolar RNA, 141 nt
Organism: Cricetulus griseus (Chinese hamster)
Lineage: Eukaryota; Metazoa; Chordata; Mammalia; Rodentia; Cricetidae
Product: small nucleolar RNA SNORA67
Source: Ensembl